UACAGAGGUCCCGAGCGUUGUUCGGAUUCACUGGGCGUAAAGGGUGCGUAGGUGGCGAGGUAAGUCGGAUGUGAAAGCUCGGAGCUCAACUCCGAAAUGGCAUUGGAAACUAUCCGGCUCGAGGGUUGGAGGGGGGACUGGAAUACUUGGUGUAGCAGUGAAAUGCGUAGAUAUCAAGUGGAACACCAGUGGCGAAGGCGAGUCCCUGGACAAACCCUGACACUGAGGCACGAAAGCCAAGGGAGCAAACAGG
This 253-nucleotide ribosomal RNA is filed under the name uncultured bacterium. Its description in RNAcentral is "partial 16S ribosomal RNA". It matches the Rfam family "Bacterial small subunit ribosomal RNA", at positions 524 to 776 of the family's 1533-position model. The record is from RNAcentral.